This is a long non-coding RNA of Lagopus muta (rock ptarmigan), 2180 nucleotides long. RefSeq lists it as uncharacterized. NCBI's taxonomy places the organism in Eukaryota, Metazoa, Chordata, Aves, Galliformes, Phasianidae. The transcript has 4 exons. The record is from RefSeq and is a predicted model, not a curated record.
UGGGAUUUCAAUUAUUUUUUUCCCAAGUCCUCCAUUAUGCUGAUGUCCCUGUGUUACAGCUCUACUAUAGCACUGUGCUCUCCCUCAGACCUCCCUGGCUGAUGUGUUACAGAAGAUGUGGUAUGACCAGCUUGCCACGCCUGUGGCAAAGAACAGGAUAUCUUUACUCGAAGCAACAAACCCUUUCAAGUUAAUGGAGCAAUGGGAAAUGAAAGUUUAGUAUUGAGAUGACUGGAAACAAAGAUUCUCUAUCAUUGCAUUAAUGCGAUUCUCUACCGUGAAGUUUCCCAAUUAAAAGCUUUGCAUUCUGUGCCCUGUUCUUUUCCAGGAUGUAUCUUUAAAAAGUCAAAUGCAGCUACUGGAAUCUUUGAGAGUGGGAGAGUAACGGCUGGUGAGAAAUACAAUUAACUUGGCUGACUAGUGCAAUUAUCAGUAAAACUGCAGCAGAAUUUGCAUCUAUUGCUGAAAUCUGAUUCUCAGUGAUGAAUAAGCGGUGGUUAGCGUUGGCUUUAUGUAGGAAAUGUUGAAAUGCCAGCUUUUGAGGGGAGGAUAAAGCAGGAUGAAAGUGGAUACUGACACUUCCUAAUUUCCUGGGGGAGUAGUGUUCUGAAUUUAACUUGAUGUAUAAAAACAUCUCCCUUGACAAGUUUUACAUAAACCUAUCACUUGGUUUUUCACAGGUAUUAUUAAAUGCCCCGUCUGAAACUGAUCUGACUAUGAGGUUUAAAUUCCUUCCUGUACAUUGUCUCACCCUUGCAUCACUCUUCAGGUACCAGAGCACCGUAUGAAAUCUGAUUCUGUUGGAUUCAAUCACUGGCUGGGCAUGUAUGUGCUGGAUGGACAGGUGGGGUAACUGCAGAGGUUGGGAGCAUGCAUCAGCGAUCACUGCGGGGAGCCAAGAAGAGGCAGAGCAGUGCAGGGCUGAGUGAGGAUGGCUGGGAUUUUGGAUAGUGUCUAGUAUGCUUCCUGACCUGAAUUAGAACUCAAAUUGAGCCACAGUGAGGAAACUUAAGGUAUUUCCUUCAUCAAAGAAAUAAGAUGAUUUUGAAGGUGAUGCUGAGGUCAGCUAAUGAAUCCAGUUUACAAGGCAGCCCUGCAAACAAGCAAUGUUGGCACAACCAUGAUGGCAGCAUGAUAAGUGUGGAGGUGGGAACAUGCAACUCCAGAGAAAUCCACAAGCAAGCUUUGAUUGUGAAGAAAAUAAAACAUGAGGUUUUCACCCAUAAACAAAAAGAAUUUAUUUCUGGAAUUAAGCAGGCAGUUGAUGAUAUUCAACAAUACUGUAUAGAAGUAGAGGCUAGGAGGAGAGGAAGAAUCUGAAUAAUCCUGAAGGCAGAGACUCUCAGCUAUAAUCUAGGUCUAUUACUGCCCAGUAGUUUGUAUAGUUUACAAACUGUUUUGGCAAGUGCUUCCACCCAAGUUUACCACAAGAAAAUGGACCUAUUUGUUUUUAGAGAUAACCAAUUUCAUCAGCUCAGAAUGUAUGUAAUUAGUAGCCUUUAGUAUGCUAAGCCACUUUGGGAACUUGGGUUUGAAUUGGCCUUAGGACUAUUACCACGCUCAUAGGACAAACUGGCUUGAAACAAUGUUCCUUUAUUUACAGUGACUUCACUUUUGUCCAAACUAAUAAAGUCAAGUAGCUGCAAUCAUUUGUGCUGGUGACUGUUGAUAUAGUGCAAGACCAUGGAUUAAUGUUGAAUGGCCACAUUUUGAACAGCUUGGAGAACAGGUUUCUCGCACAGGUUGGUUAAUUAAAGACAAGUUAUAAAGGUAACUGAGCAUGAAUUACUUGCAGCUUAAGUUCCUGUAGUCUGAGUCACCCUUAGAAGGGAGAAUUCAAGGAGUCCUUGUGCACUGCAGGACUUACAGUCAGCCACAAACUGGAGUGCUACCUGACGUUAUUACAACAGUAAUAAACUGAACCCUCCAACUCUAAUAAAACAGUAUAGUGGACGGUGUGGAUGAAAGCACUAAAGUAGCAUCUGCAGUUUUAGUGAAUGCUACAGAAAACUGGUGCAUAUGUGUAUGUUGGCAUGUGUGUACUCAUGCAUGUCUCUACAUACCUGUGUGUGUAUGUGUUUGCAAAAUGUGGGCAUGCUUGAAUGGAAAAGUCUUUUGGAAGGGAAAGGUAAUGAGCACAAAUAAGACAGAAGGAAAUCAUUUUGAGAAAUGAUAACUUC